This 619-nucleotide ribosomal RNA is filed under the name uncultured bacterium. RNAcentral's name for it is "bacterial SSU rRNA". It matches the Rfam family "Bacterial small subunit ribosomal RNA", at positions 116 to 716 of the family's 1533-position model. The record is from RNAcentral.
CGUGGGUGACCUGCCUUCGAGCGGGGGAUAACGUUCCGAAAGGGACGCUAAUACCGCAUAACAUCCUGCCUUUGAAGAGGUGGAGAUCAAAGCUGGGGAUCGCAAGACCUAGCACUCGAAGAGGGGCCCGCGUCCGAUUAGCUAGUUGGCGAGGUAAUGGCUCACCAAGGCAACGAUCGGUAGCCGGCCUGAGAGGGCGGACGGCCACACUGGGACUGAGACACGGCCCAGACUCCUACGGGAGGCAGCAGUGGGGAAUUGUUCGCAAUGGGCGCAAGCCUGACGACGCAACGCCGCGUGGAGGAUGAAGAUCUUCGGGUCGUAAACUCCUGUCGAAUGGGACGAACGAGUCGCGGGUGAAUACCCCGCGAUUGUGACGGUACCGUUAGAGGAAGCCCCGGCUAACUCCGUGCCAGCAGCCGCGGUAAUACGGGGGGGGCUAGCGUUGUUCGGAAUUACUGGGCGUAAAGGGCUCGUACGCGGCCAACUAAGUCAGACGUGAAAUCCCUCGGCUUAACCGGGGAACUGCGUCUGAUACUGGUUGGCUUGGAUUCGGGAGAGGGAUGCGGAAUUCCAGUGUAGCGGUGAAAUGCGUAGAUAUCUGGAGGACACCGGUGGC